Molecule: ribosomal RNA, 497 nt
Filed under: uncultured bacterium
Lineage: Bacteria
Description: partial 16S ribosomal RNA
Rfam family: Bacterial small subunit ribosomal RNA
Source: RNAcentral
GAUGAACGCUGGCGGCGUGCCUAAUACAUGCAAGUCGAGCGAACGGACGAGAAGCUUGCUUCUCUGAUGUUAGCGGCGGACGGGUGAGUAACACGUGGAUAACCUACCUAUAAGACUGGGAUCACUUCGGGAAACCGGAGCUAAUACCGGAUAAUAUUUUGAACCGCAUGGUUCAAAAGUGAAAGACGGUCUUGCUGUCACUUAUAGAUGGAUCCGCGCUGCAUUAGCUAGUUGGUAAGGUAACGGCUUACCAAGGCAACGAUGCAUAGCCGACCUGAGAGGGGGAUCGGCCACACUGGAACGGAGACACGUACCAGACUCCUACGGGAGGCAGCAGUAGCGAAUCUUACGCAAUGGGCGAAAGCCUGACGGAGCAACGCCGAGUGAGUGAUGAAGGUCUUCGGAUCGUAAAACUCUGUUAUUAGGGAAGAACAUAUGUGUAAGGAACUGUGCACAUCGUGACGGUACCUAAUCAGAAAGCCACGGCUAACUACGUG